UCUGACCCGUUGGGCCGAGCCAGGUCGCGGACAACGUCGACUGUUUAAGAAGCAUGGACUCUUGUCCUGAGUGCACCGAAGCUUUCAGCCUGCGGGACAGUGGUGCGAUUUGCAUUAGAGCCUAUCUCCCAGGACUAUGGAAGCCCCAUGCAGGAACAUGGUUCUGAGACUUUGGGGGUUACACCCUAAGCUUAAAGAACUGGAAAAGCCCCUGAAGUCCUGAGACCACAACCCUCCACCUUCUAAAGAUAAGACAAGUCACUGAAGGU
RNAcentral lists this non-coding RNA (269 nucleotides) under Pongo abelii (Sumatran orangutan). Lineage: Eukaryota; Metazoa; Chordata; Mammalia; Primates; Hominidae. The record is from RNAcentral.